GGAAGCUCCAGCAGCUGGCCGUUUCCCGGCCGACAGGGAGGCGAGGGAGCACCCGGACCGCUGCCCUCUCUCCUUAGGGCGGAUGCUUUGCUGCACAUCUUGUUCGGGCGUGAAAACAUUGUCUGGGAAGCCAGAAGAGAAAACCAGAAGUAGCCAGAGGAGGAAGAAUUCAUUGAUAUGUGGAGAUUUAAUCAUCACUGUGGAAAACUGAAUUACUGUUCUCAAUUCUUCACAGCGUUCAAAGAGAAUUAUUCAUCAACACCCUCGCCACGGCCUCAUGGUGGGUGGAGUAUACUUCCUGCCCCUUAACUUUGGGUUUGGCCAAAGAGAAUAUUAGUGGAUGGGACAUGACAGAGGCUUGAAAAGAGCCUGUGCAUCCAGGCUGCUCUUAUUGCACUUCAGUGGUCUACCAUGAGAAGAACUUCCUCCGGGCAGCUGUUGCUCCUUCAGCCUGGGCCCCAGAGUAAACACACAUGCCAACAGCCCAGUCUACAGUCUGGAGCCAAGUAUAGCUGAGCUGCAGCCUGAAACAGAGCUCCCCAGCCUAGCCCAGACUAAACCAGCCAAACCACAAUCCAUCUUGCAGACUCAUCUCUGAAAACACUCAAUUUUAAUUACUGAAAAAUAAUCCAUCACAAUCUAUUUAACUUUUCUCCUAUUGGGCCUAUGUGCAUGUCGGUUGGCUUAAGAAAAGAAGAUCCUAACAAUUAGAGCUGGCCGGUGAUGGAAUGGCAAGAAUUACCACGUGGUCUUCUCUGCUCUGAGCCUGAUCCAGCAGAGGCUGGGUGACCAUCUGUUAGAGCUGCUGCAGAGGGAGAUCAAUUUAGACAACUUCUGAGUCUCUUUCCAACUGUAAGAUCUUAUGAAAACUUGACGGGCGGUCCUGCGGGAAAGGAGGUAGAUUUGUUCUUUGUAGCUCUGUUCACCAGAGGAACAUUUCUCAGGCUUUUCCAUCUAGAAAUCCCCAAUGUCAAAGGCAAGUGAAUAGAUACUCCUGGGAGGUCUGGG
This 1008-nucleotide long non-coding RNA is filed under the name Equus caballus (horse). Its description in RNAcentral is "lncRNA (ENSECAG00000059915.1)". The record is from RNAcentral. Lineage: Eukaryota; Metazoa; Chordata; Mammalia; Perissodactyla; Equidae.